AGGGGGGGGGGGGGGUAGGGGGAGGAGAGGCAAGUCGAAGGGCGGAACAGUAAGAGGUUGGUCUUACGGGGGAGGGGGGGCGGACGGGGAAGGAAUACAUCGGAAUCUACUUUUUCGUGGGGGAUCAAGGAGGGAAACUUACGCUAAUACGGCAUACGGCGUACGCGUGGAAGGAGGGGCACGUCCGACCUUGCGCGAUUGCAUGAGCCGAUGUCGGCUUAGCGAGUUGGCGGGGUAAAGGCCCACGAAGGCGACUGUCCGUAGCUGGUCUGAGAGGAUGAUCAGCCACACUGGAACUGAGACACGGUCCAGACUCCUACGGGAGGCAGCAGUGGGGAAUAUUGGACAAUGGGCGCAAGCCUGAUCCAGCCAUACCGCGUGGGUGAAGAAGGCCUUCGGGUUGUAAAGCCCUUUUGUUGGGAAAGAAAAGCAGCAGGUUAAUACCCCGCUGUUCUGACGGUACCCAAAGAAUAAGCACCGGCUAACUUCGUG
Molecule: ribosomal RNA, 492 nt
Filed under: uncultured bacterium
Lineage: Bacteria
Description: partial 16S ribosomal RNA
Rfam family: Bacterial small subunit ribosomal RNA
Source: RNAcentral